AUCAAUAUAAUACAAAAGGGCAAGUAGAGCUGAACAUUUUGGGAGAAGCAUCAAUUAGAUAGACUACAAAUUCUUUGGAAUUCUUUGGAAGCCUCUUUUUCCUGUUGCACCAAAAGAUUCAUCACUAACCAAUACUAAUCAAUGUUUCAUUUCUUUUUUGGCUUUCACUAAAAAGUCCAAGAAGAAAAAAAGGUUAAAACUGAAAGAUAUCAUUUACAUCAAACAUAAUCAAUAUAACCGGUUAAGCAAUUAAUGAUACAGAAGACUCAUCAAUGGACAACUAUGAUAUCAUUUACAUGAAUUUGACUUGUUGGACACACAGAAGUGGACAACAAUAGUUUGCAAUCCUUGAUUUAGUGGACAUGAUAUUGUGGAUACUAUGUAAUUUGCAUAAACUAUUUUUUUAUUUGGGUGGAUAUAAGGACAACUAUGAUAUCAUUUACAUGGAUUUGACUUGUUGGACACAUAGAAGUGGACAACAAUAGUUUGCAGUCCUUGAUUUAGUGGACAUGAUAUUGUGGAUACUAUCUAAUUUGCAUAAACUAUUUCUUCUAUUUUUUU
Molecule: small RNA, 561 nt
Filed under: Arabidopsis thaliana (thale cress)
Lineage: Eukaryota; Viridiplantae; Streptophyta; Magnoliopsida; Brassicales; Brassicaceae
Description: ATSL156130
Source: RNAcentral